UCGAACGCGUCUCCGUUGAUGAUUUUAGGUGCUUGCACUUGAAAGAUUUAACAUUGAGACGAGUGGCGAACUGGUGAGUAACACGUGGGUAACCUGCCCUUGAAGUAGGGGAUAACACUUGGAAACAGGUGCUAAUACCGUAUAACAACCAAAACCACCUGGUUUUGGUUUAAAAGACGGCUUCGGCUGUCACUUUAGGAUGGACCCGCGGCGCAUUAGCUUGUUGGUAAGGUAACGGCUUACCAAGGCGAUGAUACGUAGCCGACCUGAGAGGGUAAUCGGCCACAUUGGGACUGAGACACGGCCCAAACUCCUACGGGAGGCAGCAGUAGGGAAUCUUCCACAAUGGACGAAAGUCUGAUGGAGCAACGCCGCGUGAGUGAUGAAGGGUUUCGGCUCGUAAAACUCUGUUGUUGGAGAAGAACAGGUGUCAGAGUAACUGUUGACAUCUUGACGGUAUCCAACCAGAAAGCCACGGCUAACUACGUGCCAGCAGCCGCGGUAAUACGUAGGUGGCAAGCGUUGUCCGGAUUUAUUGGGCGUAAAGCGAGCGCACGCGGUUUUUUAGGUCUGAUGUGAAAGCCUUCGGCUUAACCGGAGAAGUGCAUCGGAAACCGGGAGACUUGAGUGCAGAAGAGGACAGUGGAACUCCAUGUGUAGCGGUGAAAUGCGUAGAUAUAUGGAAG
RNAcentral lists this ribosomal RNA (686 nucleotides) under uncultured bacterium. Its description in RNAcentral is "bacterial SSU rRNA". It matches the Rfam family "Bacterial small subunit ribosomal RNA", at positions 62 to 704 of the family's 1533-position model. The record is from RNAcentral.